AACGAACGCUGGCGGCAUGCCUAACACAUGCAAGUCGAACGAGACCUUCGGGUCUAGUGGCGCACGGGUGCGUAACGCGUGGGAACCUGCCCUUAGGUUCGGAAUAACUCCCCGAAAGGGGUGCUAAUACCGGAUAAUGUCUUCGGACCAAAGAUUUAUCGCCUUUGGAUGGGCCCGCGUUGGAUUAGCUAGUUGGUAGGGUAAAAGCCUACCAAGGCGACGAUCCAUAGCUGGCCUGAGAGGAUGACCAGCCACACUGGGACUGAGACACGGCCCAGACUCCUACGGGAGGCAGCAGUGGGGAAUAUUGGACAAUGGGCGAAAGCCUGAUCCAGCAAUGCCGCGUGAGUGAUGAAGGCCUUAGGGUUGUAAAGCUCUUUUACCCGGGAUGAUGAUGACAGUACCGGGAGAAUAAGCGCCGGCUAACUCCGUG
RNAcentral lists this ribosomal RNA (433 nucleotides) under uncultured bacterium. Its description in RNAcentral is "partial 16S ribosomal RNA". It matches the Rfam family "Bacterial small subunit ribosomal RNA", at positions 29 to 507 of the family's 1533-position model. The record is from RNAcentral.